CGGGUAGUUUUUGCGAGCAAUGUCAACAAAUUGUACACGAUUGAAAAUCUCAAAUCUUUCAUAAGUUUACAAAGUCAGGCGAAGGCGGGACUCUCACACAUUGGGCGAGUGAUCGCUGCAGUUCUUCAACUGAUCUUGCCUUUUGCAUGUAACUAGCUAAUUAAAUCUAAUCUAAAUAAAAAAUGAUUCAUGCCAGAUGAUCAGCCUAUUGUUGAAUGUCUAAACACUGAGGAAAUAAACAUUCGCGAACAAGGAACUAUUUAGUAAGCAUUUACGACUACGUGAAAAGAUCGCCAAAGAUUACACGGCGCUGUUUACAAUGGUUCUCUAACUCACACGAAAUGUUUUCAUUGAAAGUUAAUUGAAGGAUAAAACAUUGAUACAAAGUUGGAAGGGAUCGACACACAGUUUGGAAAUU
Drosophila montana is the source of this 418-nucleotide long non-coding RNA. RefSeq lists it as uncharacterized. Lineage: Eukaryota; Metazoa; Arthropoda; Insecta; Diptera; Drosophilidae. The transcript has 3 exons. The record is from RefSeq and is a predicted model, not a curated record.